UUCCCGAAACGGCACACUUAUUGAAAGAUAAGGUCGCAAAGUUUUUGAGUCUAAGGUACAAUCUUGUACUAAGAUCGUCAGACUAUCGAA
Molecule: regulatory RNA element, 90 nt
Organism: Orenia sp.
Lineage: Bacteria; Bacillati; Bacillota; Clostridia; Halanaerobiales; Halobacteroidaceae
Rfam family: c-di-GMP-I riboswitch aptamer
About the family: GEMM was predicted in a large-scale screen for bacterial structured RNA regulatory elements.
Source: Rfam